UACAUUCAGUUGAGAACUCUAAUGAGACUGCCAGUGAUAAACUGGAGGAAGGUGGGGAUGACGUCAAAUCAUCAUGCCCCUUAUGACCUGGGCUACACACGUGCUACAAUGGCCGGUACAAAGAGUUGCGAAACUGUGAAGUUAAGCUAAUCUCAUAAAGCCGGUCUCAGUUCGGAUUGUAGUCUGCAACUCGACUACAUGAAGUCGGAAUCGCUAGUAAUCGCGAAUCAGAAUGUCGCGGUGAAUACGUUCUCGAGUCUU
RNAcentral lists this ribosomal RNA (261 nucleotides) under uncultured Syntrophus sp. RNAcentral describes it as "partial 16S ribosomal RNA". It matches the Rfam family "Bacterial small subunit ribosomal RNA", at positions 1120 to 1382 of the family's 1533-position model. Lineage: Bacteria; Pseudomonadati; Thermodesulfobacteriota; Syntrophia; Syntrophales; Syntrophaceae. The record is from RNAcentral.